UUGCAGGCUGAAACUCGCCUGCAUGAAGUCGGAAUUGCUAGUAAUCGCAGAUCAGCAUGCUGCGGUGAAUACGUUCCCGGGCCUUGUACACACCGCCCGUCACACCAUGGAGUCGGUAACACCCGAAGCCUGUAGUCUAACCGCAAGGAGGACGCAGUCGAAGGUGGGAUUGAUGACUGGGGUGAAGUCGUAACAAGGUAAC
RNAcentral lists this ribosomal RNA (202 nucleotides) under uncultured bacterium. Its description in RNAcentral is "partial 16S ribosomal RNA". It matches the Rfam family "Bacterial small subunit ribosomal RNA", at positions 1298 to 1500 of the family's 1533-position model. The record is from RNAcentral.